RNAcentral lists this ribosomal RNA (255 nucleotides) under uncultured bacterium. RNAcentral's name for it is "partial 16S ribosomal RNA". It matches the Rfam family "Bacterial small subunit ribosomal RNA", at positions 524 to 776 of the family's 1533-position model. The record is from RNAcentral.
UACGAAGGGGGCUAGCGUUGUUCGGAAUCACUGGGCGUAAAGGGCGCGUAGGCGGCUAUUCAAGUCGGGGGUGAAAGCCUGUGGCUCAACCACAGAAUUGCCUUCGAUACUGUUUGGCUUGAGACCGGAAGAGGACAGCGGAACUGCGAGUGUAGAGGUGAAAUUCGUAGAUAUUCGCAAGAACACCAGUGGCGAAGGCGGCUCACUGGCCCGAUACUGACGCUGAGGCACGAAAAGCGUGGGGGAGCAAACAGG